UUUGUUUUGUUUUUUUAAAUUGAACAACUUUUUCAUGUAUUUUCUACUCGUUGUAUUUCUAUGUUUGGAUGGGGCAGGUCUGAGCGGCUGGACUGAUCUCCCGCUGACCAAUAAGCUGCUCCGCUGCUAACCGCCAGCCAAUAGAACUGCUUCUUUGCUUGCUGCCUUACCAAUCAGCGGCUGCCGCUGAAGCUCGGCGCUUACAGAACAGAGGAGCAGCCGCCAUUUUGUUUGUUUUUAUCUCAACUGUUACGGGAAGCGGUAGUGGGGAGGGAGCAGGGGGGUAGGGAGGAAAUCCCCCGGGUGACGUUAGCCUAGCGCGUCUUAUCAGCCGAGCUCAGAGUGGCAGGACAGUGUCCAAUCAGAAGGCCGGAACGACGCGAAGCGGUCAGGCGGGGAAAGUUAAGAGAAAAUGAUGACUAAAUCUUACAUCAGCGUAGGAUGACGUAAGAAAAACAUUUACAGUCUCUUUAAAAAGAGACUACAGCUCAUCUUAAACAUGAAAGUAAAUUAGACCCGAAAAUUAAUAAAUUGAGAGAAGUCCAGGUAUGCUCUCUGCUGCUGGAGGUCACCUUGUUUCUAGACAUGCAAUCACAACAACUGACACUGCGUCAUCGCUGUCCUGCUACAUCUAAUCGGAAGUAUUGAUUGGAGAUUUGUUUUGUAGUUUGAAGUCAGUCUGUAAUUGAUUUAUAGAAGCACAUUUGUCUUAUUAAAAUAAAAAAAAUUAAAUGCACAAUUUUGAAGUUUUGUCUGGAAUUUGUCAUCAAGUAGGAUUUUCUAUCCUGAUUUUAUGACUUUUUCAAGUUUUCAUUUUUAACCUUGGAGUUGCUUUUUGUCAUUAUAUGAUUUAUUAAUUUUUAUUUAAAAUGUCUGAUUUCCACAGUGACGUGAUUGCGUCAUGCAGUGGCUGUAGAUUUGUCAGCAGAUGUCCAUCGUGUGUUGAGAAAAAUAUCUUCACCCCUUUUUUCGGUGGGCCUCUUUUAACGGCAGCCUCAGUUUCCUGCUGUUAUCUGACUGGAGUGGUGCGGUCUUCUGCUGCUGUAGUCCUUCUGCUUCAAGGUUCACUAUCAGAGAUGCACUUCUGCAAAACUCGGUUGUAACGAGCUGUUAUUUGUGUUCCUAUCAAAUCAAAACAGUCUGGUUAUUCUCCUCUGACCUGAACAUUUUUACCCAAGAACUGACACUAUUUUCUAUUUUUUUAGACCGUUAUCGGUGAAGCGAUGGUUGUGUGGGAAAAUCCCACCCAGAAAUGCUCAGACCAACAACAAUGCCACAUUUAACAUCACUUCACUCCCCUUGUUUCUUCAUUCUGAUCAUUUUGAACUUCAGCAGGUAAUCUUGACCAUGUCUACAUGUCUAAAUGAAUUAAUUUGCUGUCACGUGAUUGGCUGAUUAAAUAUUUUACUAACAAGGAGCUGAGCAGGUGAACCUAAUGAUGCAGUCGGUUAGUGUACAUUUAAUUUCUACAGCUAAUGUGACGGGUCUGGCUUAAUUAAGCACUUUUAUGAGCUGACCUUUCACUGAUAUAUAAAUUAAUAUGUAUAUAAUUCAUCUGAAUAAACUUUGUAACAUUUACAACUCAAUUUUUAUUCCUUUUAUUCACUUGUUGUAUUCAAUGUUUUCUGUUUUCAACUCCCUACGCUGUACUGCUCUUUGUCAUCACUGGAUGGCGCUGUUGUUUUUGCUGUUGCUUCAGCUGUAAAUAUUUGUCCAACAUUUCAAUAAAGUUUUCUGAAUAUGUCAGCAGUAGUAGUGACAACAUAUGAAAAUCCAGACAGACAUUUCACAUCAGUUUUUAUACUUUUAUUUUAUUUAUAACACUUGUCAUUUUAUCUUCUUACAGAGGGGGCAUGAUGGGAAACAGACAUCGACAGCAUGGAAGGCAGUGGCCGGCCACUAACCGAUAACCUGCAAUCAAUCAAUACUCAAUCAAUAAUAACAAUAUACUUCUAAGUACAACAUGAAGGAGAAGAAUACACGACGGUGCUGCUGUUACACCAGAGGUGUGGGAACGUCAGCCAUUAACAGUCCACAGCACAAACGCCCCUGUGAUCACAUCAGAACUGCCCCAAAGAAAACAAAAAAAUUAAAAUAAUAAUAAUAAAAAGAGCAAUAAAAGCAGUAAUAACACCUUUGGAAUAAAAUAACAAAUAAAUAUAAAGCUGCAGACUGAAAGGCUAAAUACUGACACCCAUCUGAAUUGGCACAAAGAAGAGUUCAGAAGCUGUAAGGCAAAAAUCAGAACUAGAGGAGUUUUUACACAGAAGCCAGUUUCUCUUCUUUGGACAGAAUAACUGAUCCUAGACCAGCACCAGCAUUUCACUGCUCUGAAACUACAAACUGGAUCAGGGGCUGAGGCGGAUGCAAAUAUUUCUUUAAACUGCUUUAAAAACUUUAUUUAAAUAGUUCAAACCAAGCAGCAAGUACCCAUUGUUUUUAAACUGCAGUUCCUCACCUGGCCACUUGAGGCGGCCUACAACAGUGAGUCUCCCAUGUUAAAAUGUCUGAGUGUACAGCAGAAACAAACAUGUUUACGCCCUGGUCCACAACAUGGGUUUGGUGUCUGUGGCUAAUUUAAACCUUUAUAAAAACUGUAGUGGGGUGAAAUUAGUUAUACUUAAGUUGUCAGUAUUAGAGGCGUCCCUACUUUGAUUGGCAGAAGAAUCUCUACAAAGACGUUACAGCCAACAAAUUCAAAUCCAAUGAGUGAACCAAAUUGACAGUUUUCAUGUAAUAAAAUUAUCUUAUACAUAUUAUGACUUGUUUUUUAAGUGAAAUUGUACUACUUUAAUUUGCUAUUUAGCAUUAAUUAUCCAGUAUCUAUGGAUUCCACACAAACCAAUGGCUAACUUCAUGGUGGCUAUGUCCAUCUUUAUAUACUGUCGUCAGAACCAGUGAGGAACAGUUUAAUCCAGUCUGCAAUGAUCUCUGGCAACAGAAAAGAUUCAGUAAAACUCAAACAAAAAGAAGCAACUUAAGCGUUGACCACGCAACACAUUUUUCACCACAUCAAAACAGUUGAUGACGAUGGGAGCUAUAUAAGGCUGAGUUACUGGCCAUUUCCUUCCAUUAUCACUGCUUUGCAUGCCAAAAACACGCUAAAAAACACACUGUAGCAACCAGAGCCACGUGCAGACUGAGCACCAGAUAGCGAGGCGGUGAGGUAGAAGCUAAAGAAAAACUUCCACAUUUUGAGAGGAAAGUUUGUGUAAUGCAGAAUCACGAAACGCUUCCCAGAGAUUCUGCUCUGGUUAGCAUGUAGCUUAGCACAAACUGUGGAAGCAAAGGGGAACUGUUAGCUUAGCUUUUCCAACCUAUUCAUUUGCAUUUUACAUUAAGAGAAAGCAGCUGCGUGUCAUUAGCUCGAUAACUAACACAAGUUUCAUGAUUUUGACUGAUUUUUGAUGAGUAGCUUGGCCUUUAAACUGUGACGGUCCAGCAGAAAGUGAAAGGAGGAGCAGGAACAAGCACAUCUUUGGUAUUUUAGCUUUAUCAGCGACCACCAAUAACUGAUUAACAGUCUGUUAACGAGGCAAAGCAGCUGCAUGCAGCCUGUUGCAAUUACUCUUCAACUUCUUUUAACUUUCUUCACUUGUAUUUCUUCCUGUCUAAUUUUACAACUUCCACCAUCUUGAGCAGAAUUUUGAUCAAUUCUGACAGAAAACUUUAGAAAGCUGUCCUGGAAAAGCGUCGUCUUUUAAACUCCGCUCAAAGAUAACCACCACAUCGACAUACUGCACUCCUCUCUACCAGCCAUUUUAUAAGUUUAUCCACUGCCAAACCAAAACAAAAAGUCACUAUCUAGAGUUCAAUAA
This is a long non-coding RNA of Haplochromis burtoni (Burton's mouthbrooder), 3818 nucleotides long. RefSeq lists it as uncharacterized. The transcript has 2 exons. Lineage: Eukaryota; Metazoa; Chordata; Actinopteri; Cichliformes; Cichlidae. The record is from RefSeq and is a predicted model, not a curated record.